GUGUGCGUAGCUCAUGAAGCGGUUAGAGCAUCCCUCCGGAUUGAGGCGGUCAUGGGUUCGAAUCCCAUUGCACACA
This 76-nucleotide transfer RNA is filed under the name Cronartium ribicola 11-2. RNAcentral describes it as "tRNA-Pro (CGG) (tRNA-Pro-CGG-22-1)". It matches the Rfam family "tRNA". From Rfam's summary of the family: Transfer RNA (tRNA) molecules are approximately 80 nucleotides in length. Lineage: Eukaryota; Fungi; Basidiomycota; Pucciniomycetes; Pucciniales; Coleosporiaceae. The record is from RNAcentral.